UACGGAGGGUGCAAGCAUUAAUCGGAUUUAUUGGGCGUAAAGAGGGCGUAGGCGGAAAUGUAAGUCAGAUGUGAAGCCCGGGGCUCAACCCCGGAAUGGCAUUUGAGACUGCGUAUCUAGAGGGUAGGCGGAGAAAACGGAAUUCCACAUGUAGCGGUGAAAUGCGUAGAUAUGUGGAAGAACACCGGUGGCGAAGGCGGUUUUCUAGCUUAUACCUGACGCUGAGGCCCGAAAUCAACGGUAGCAAACAGG
Molecule: ribosomal RNA, 252 nt
Filed under: uncultured bacterium
Lineage: Bacteria
Description: partial 16S ribosomal RNA
Rfam family: Bacterial small subunit ribosomal RNA
Source: RNAcentral